Long non-coding RNA from Drosophila ananassae, 3096 nucleotides. RefSeq lists it as uncharacterized. NCBI's taxonomy places the organism in Eukaryota, Metazoa, Arthropoda, Insecta, Diptera, Drosophilidae. The record is from RefSeq and is a predicted model, not a curated record. The transcript has 18 exons.
GGCCAAAAUAAAUCAUUCGGUCUCGAGACCCCAACCAGUACGGGUCUCCUAAAUAAAUAGUUGUAAGUUUAGUUUUUAUUUAAUUUAAUUUAAAAGGUAAAAAUAGGAAAAAGUAGUGAAAUAAUAAAAUUGUGAAAAAUAAUAAAGUGAAAAAAUAAUAAAGUAAAAAAAUAAUAAAGUAAAAAAAAUAAUAAAGUGAAAAAAAAAUUUUAAAUAAAUUAAAAUUGUUGAAAAAUACAAUAAUAAAAUAAAAAAGUGAAAAAAAUAAAAUAGUGAAAAAAAUAAAAAAGUGAAAAUAAUAAAAUAGGAAAAAAAAAUAAUAUAAUGAUGAAUAAAAUUUAAAAAGUGAAACAAAAAUAUUGUGAACAAUACAAAUAAUAAAAAUCAGAAAUUGAAAUAACAAAAAUUCAAGAAAAUAAAAUUGUGAAAAUACAAUUAUGAAUAAAAUUGUGGAAUAAUAAAAUCGUAAAAUAAAAAACUAAAAUUUCAAAUAAUAAUAUGAAAAAAAAAUAAAAAAAAAUGAAAAAUUUAUACAAAUUGUGAUAAAAAGUGACUGCGAUGGAGUUCUUAAAAUGGCAAGUAAAACUAUUUUAAAAGCUAAAAUAUUACAGGCCAUAGACUUAAGGUUUAAAAAGAAGUUUCCUUAUUUGCUGGUAUUGUUAUUUUUUCAUAAAGAUUCAGGAAUUCAUUCUUCACAGUGGGCUAUAUUGAACGCACUCAAUGAACUACUUGGUAUAACUGGUAACUGAGUGGAGGGAUCAGUACUUCUAUUUUGUUGGACUUGUUCCACUUUAUAGCUCCAAAAUGCAUAAUGGGCUCUUAUUCUUUGGCAUGAUCCCUUUUAAUGGUUAUGGAAGGCUUUUUUAUCCAGAAAGUCUCAAUAGGAUCUCGGACCAUUAUCACUUAUUUGCUGGUUUUUUUUUCUCAUUAUCGCUUUCGUCGCUUUCCGAAUCUUUUUUCCCUCCGGUCUCCUGGCUAUUCUUACAUAUCCAUACAGUGGCCUCUAACGAUCGACCGAACGUAAAAGUAAAAGUUAGAAUAACUGGUAGCUGUAUGGAGAGAUUCUUGAUCUCAUUUGCUGAUUUCUUUAUUUUUUAAUCAAUAUUGCGAUGUUCAUUCCCCACAGUGGGAUCUCACAAAGGCGCAUCUUAUAAAUUUGUUAAACGGGCAUCCAUAAAGAUCCUUGAGCUCCUUUUCUCUUUUCCUUUAUACUUCGGAGAUGGGCGAUCGAAUACGGUAGUUUGAAGAUUAAUUCAAUCUGGUAUUUUUAUUUUUUUUCGAUUAAGUUUGCAACAUUUCCCUCCAGUGGCCUCUAACGAACGCCCGAACGUAAAAGUUAGAAUAACUGGUAGCUGUAUGGAGAGAUUCUUGAUCCAAGAGCUCCUCCCUUUUCUCAUUUGCUGAUUUAUUUAUUUUUUAAUCAAUAUUGCGAUGUUUAUUCCCCACAGUGGGAUCUGACAAAUGCGCAUCUGAUCAAUUUGUUACACGGGUAUCUAUAUAGAUCCUUGAACUCCUUUUCUCUUUUCCUUUACUUCGGCGAUCGAAUAACGCAAUUAUAGAAACCCAUCGAAGAGUUCCUGAUUAUUAUUCUAACAAAUUAUGUUUAAUUUGAAGUUUUCCAUCAUGCUGCCCCAUAACUAUUCCUCCAAUCUCACUUGACCAGUAGGUCUGGAUCGGAUCACAACUACGCCUCUUUCUGAUUUUCUGAUUUUUUUUAAACCUUUUUCAAAUUAUUUUUCAUUUUAUGCUCUACGGCCCGUGGAACUCUAUUUCCCCGGCAUGAUCCCCUUAACCAUUCCUCCAAUCUCACUCGACCAGUGGGUCUGGAUCGGAUCACAACUACGCCUCUUAUUUGCUUGUUUGUUUUUGAAUAAAGUAUUACUUUUCCCCCAGAGGGCUCUCACGAAUGCGCAUCUGACGAGCUCCUGGUUUGUAGCUCCUUGAGGUCCUUCUCUCUUCCCUACUUGUGAACGGGUGGCCCAUUUAGGAGAUGGACAGUUGGGUGGUCCCCCGUGACUUCUCCUUUGCUUCUUAUGCUUCCUGCUGCUUCUCAUGCCUCCUGUUUGCUCCCUCUUAUAAUAUCCUUGGGUCCUAAUAAAGAAUCUUGAAGUACCUCAGAUCAAUGUGGUUGGCUCCUCUCUGGUUCCGUUUUAAUAAACGACGAGCAGUGGCCCCUCCAGUCUUGGCCCUUUCUGUUCAGUCGUCCUUCCGCAAGGACAUUCCAUUGAUCCCUUCUUGUAUAUGCCCUGAUGCAGUCCUGAUUUCCUCAUUUCUUGUUGAUCCUUUCUCGCACUACAGAUGAGCCCCUAGUUCCGUCAUUUGUAGCCGCUGACUGGUCGCUUAUGUCACUUAGAAAACGAUUUCUUUUUGAAAUCAUCAUUGAGGACAGUCGGUCUUCCUCCAUAACUGCUGGAAGAGGUCCUUUUGACAUCUGAUUUCCUCAUUUCAUUAUCCCAAUUGAUCAUAUAUCACAUGUGUUCCUGAUUCAGUUCCUUCAAUUAGUUGGAUCUAGAUUCCACACCGUUUCAAAUGGUUGGAUAAGCUGAUAUUUCUUUGUAAAUGGAUGAGGUCCUUGGUGCAUCCUUGAUGUUCUUGAAGCCAUAGGGGUCGACUUAUCCUCAGAUCCUUCUGGACGUGUGGUUCUCCUUUCUUUUGUUCCUGUUUCCUGUCCAGUUUCACGGACGGCGCGGAGUGGGCUCUCCAGUCUUGGCCCUUUCUGUUCAGUCGUCCUGCUGCCAGGACGUCCCUCCUUUCCUGAUUUCCUUCCAGCUUCCAUUGCCUUAUGUUUCCUUGCACUAUCUGUGACUGUCAUCGGUAACACACGUGCAGUUGUUGCAAUUUGUCCAUCUUGGUUGCAAGUCCCUUAUUUCCUCAUAUUUAAAUCUGGUAUAAGCGUUGAUCAAGAGUAAAAAGAGUCUUGGAACCUAAGUUAUCCGGUCCAAUACCUAUCCAUCCUGUUGCUUCCAUGGAGACCCUCAGGACAUCUGAUUUCCUUCGUACUAUUUUUGAAACUUCUAUUGGGCAGAGACAGUGGCCCCUCCAGUCUUUGCUCUUUCUGCUCAAUUAUGGUGUCUGAUUUUCUUAUUUUCUUUGAUG